GUUGGUGAACCAGCGGAGGGAUCAUUAUAGAGUUGUAAAACUCCCUAAACCCAUGUGAACAUACCUGUUGCCUCGGCGGGCCUACCCUAUAGUUACCCUGUAGCUACCCGGGAGUGACCGCCGAAGGACUACCAAACUCUUUUAUCUCUGUAUCUCUGAGUAAAAAAACAAAUAAGUUAAAACUUUCAACAACGGAUCUCUUGGUUCUG
Molecule: unclassified non-coding RNA, 209 nt
Filed under: rhizosphere metagenome
Description: partial ribosomal RNA internal transcribed spacer region
Source: RNAcentral